GAGAGAGAAAGAGAGAGAGGGAGAGGAGCAUCCAGAUAGGAAAGAGAGAGAGUUCAGGGAGGGAAGAGAUAGAAGAGGGUCCAGAGAGGUGAAAGAGAGAGAGGAGAGUCCAGAGAGAGAUAGGAGAAGAAGAGAGUCCAGGGAGGGAUGAGAGAGAGGAGAGUCCAGAGGAGGGAUGAGAGAGAGGAGAGUCCAGAGGAGGGAUGAGAGAGAGGAGAGUCCAGAGAGGGAAGAGAGAGGAGAGUCCAGAGAGGGAAGAGAGAGAGGAGAGUCCAGAGAGGGGAGAGAGAGAGGAGAGUCCAGAGAGGGAAGAGAGAGAGGAGAGUCCAGAGAGGGAAGAGAGAGAGGAGAGUCCAGAGAGGGAAGAGAGAGAGGAGAGUCCAGAGG
Molecule: long non-coding RNA, 387 nt
Organism: Oncorhynchus tshawytscha (Chinook salmon)
Lineage: Eukaryota; Metazoa; Chordata; Actinopteri; Salmoniformes; Salmonidae
Source: Ensembl